Molecule: ribosomal RNA, 200 nt
Filed under: uncultured bacterium
Lineage: Bacteria
Description: partial 16S ribosomal RNA
Rfam family: Bacterial small subunit ribosomal RNA
Source: RNAcentral
CGUCGCGCUGCAGUUGGGGCAGGGUCCCGGCUCCUACGGGAGGCAGCAGUGGGGAAUAUUGGACAAUGGGCGAAAGCCUGAUCCAGCCAUGCCGCGUGUGUGAAGAAGGUCUUCGGAUUGUAAAGCACUUUAAGUUGGGAGGAAGGGCAGUAAAUUAAUACUUUGCUGUUUUGACGUUACCGACAGAAUAAGCACCGGCU